This 28-nucleotide small RNA is filed under the name Bombyx mori (domestic silkworm). RNAcentral's name for it is "ovarian small RNA-37711". The record is from RNAcentral. Lineage: Eukaryota; Metazoa; Arthropoda; Insecta; Lepidoptera; Bombycidae.
UUGAGGCGAAGAGUUUGAUCAGAAGGUC